UGGGGAAUUUUGGACAAUGGGGGAAACCCUGAUCCAGCCAUCCCGCGUGUGCGAUGAAGGCCUUCGGGUUGUAAAGCACUUUUGGCAGGAAAGAAACGUCAUGGGUUAAUACCCCGUGAAACUGACGGUACCUGCAGAAUAAGCACCGGCUAACUACGUGCCAGCAGCCGCGGUAAUACGUAGGGUGCAAGCGUUAAUCGGAAUUACUGGGCGUAAAGCGUGCGCAGGCGGUUCGGAAAGAAAGAUGUGAAAUCCCAGAGCUCAACUUUGGAACUGCAUUUUUAACUACCGGACUAGAGUGUGGCAGAGGGAGGUGGAAUUCCGCGUGUAGCAGUGAAAUGCGUAGAUAUGCGGAGGAACACCGAUGGCGAAGGCAGCCUCCUAGGAUAAAACUGACGCUCAUGCACGAAAGCGUGGGGAGCAAACAGG
RNAcentral lists this ribosomal RNA (429 nucleotides) under Acidobacteriota bacterium. RNAcentral describes it as "Acidobacteria bacterium partial 16S ribosomal RNA". It matches the Rfam family "Bacterial small subunit ribosomal RNA", at positions 355 to 776 of the family's 1533-position model. The record is from RNAcentral. Lineage: Bacteria; Pseudomonadati; Acidobacteriota.